This is a long non-coding RNA of Astatotilapia calliptera (eastern happy), 1063 nucleotides long. The record is from Ensembl. Lineage: Eukaryota; Metazoa; Chordata; Actinopteri; Cichliformes; Cichlidae.
UUUUAACCCACAACAUCAGAACAAAGCCCCGUGUCACACAGCCACACACUUCAAAUACAUUUGUAGAGGGAAGUGAGUUAAAGAAAACACCCACAGUCUGAAGAUGAGAUCUGAAAUGUUGCAGGAACCACCACAGCGGUGGUCUUAAUAUAAAUGAGAAGCUUUUUGUAAGCGCUGAAAAUGUUUCAGUGGGAAUAUUUUCCACCGUGGUGGGUAUUUCAGACAACCUUGCGUCUACCCACCACUGCUCCUCAAUCACGACGGGGCCUGACCAGACAGAUCAAUGAGAGAAGGGCACUGGUGAUUCAACAACUGCUGCUGUGGCAUACACGCCCUAAUUGGAUGGUACACGAGUGUUUUACUGAAUACUGGGCCUGUUUUUCAACAUGCACAAUCAAUGGCUUGUUCUCCGCUGACUCCUCUGCUCACACAGCUCUAAUCAGAUAGUAAACUCUGCGCUUGAAGCUUCUGGAUGAUUGCAUAUUUCCUGUGUCACACUGCUUUAAUUAAGCAUCAAAUACAAUUACGCUCCAUUCAUCACUCUACAAAUGCAAUGAUAUCAUAUUUUACUGUUAGAUACCAAAGGUGGGAACAUUCAAGAGGGCUUUUAGAUCACUUGCUAACACUCUUUAAAUCUCACACAUUUAACACCUGGCAUUAACAGAUUACACGGUUCAAAAAUGAUAGGAGUCAGCUCAAAGUAUAGAAUCACAAUGAGCUUUUUCACAUUCGGGUUAUAAUGCAAAUUGAAAGUGUGACAGCUCUGACAGAUUUAAUGCUCCCUCCAACGGAUAAAAGAUGUGAAUCUGUCACAGCGCAGCUAAAACCAGUCUAGACAAUGCUGAGGAGAAGGAGAGAACAGAAAGGUACAUUUUCCUGUGGCCUGUAGUGAUAUUUUGCCAUUUUUGCACGCGUCUCUUUUGGAAAUGUCCACGUUCUCUUAAACACAACGGAAUUAAUACUAAAAGCAUCUGCAGCACCAUUUUCCAGAAAGCAUAUCCUUUUAGGUCAAAAACAUUCACAAAUCUUGUUGCGAGUCGUUUCAUGAAGGAUUUAGUUUUUC